GAGACACCCUUAUGGGGCAGGACUUGCUUCAGUGGGGCUUUGGUGCUCACUGAGUCUUACCCUUGAGUGUGUCGCU
Molecule: non-coding RNA, 76 nt
Organism: Myotis lucifugus (little brown bat)
Lineage: Eukaryota; Metazoa; Chordata; Mammalia; Chiroptera; Vespertilionidae
Source: Rfam